Molecule: ribosomal RNA, 380 nt
Filed under: uncultured eukaryote
Lineage: Eukaryota
Description: partial 18S ribosomal RNA
Rfam family: Eukaryotic small subunit ribosomal RNA
Source: RNAcentral
CAAUAGCGUAUAUUAAAGUUGUUGCAGUUAAAAAGCUCGUAGUUGGAUCUGUGGUGUGCGGUGGGCUCCGGGCACUUGUUGUCUGAGUAGCUCGCCGCUGCCAUCCUUGGGUGGAAUCUGUGUGGCAUUAGGUUGUCGUGCAGGGGAUGCCCAUCGUUUACUGUGAAAAAAUUAGAGUGCUCAAAGCAGGCUUAUGCCGUUGAAUAUAUUAGCAUGGAAUAAUGAGAUAGGACUUUUUCGCUAUUUUGUUGGUUUGCGCGAAGAGGUAAUGAUUAAUAGGGACAGUUGGGGGUAUUCGUAUUCCAUUGUCAGAGGUGAAAUUCUUGGAUUUUUGGAAGACGAACUACUGCGAAAGCAUUUACCAAGGAUGUUUUCAUUAA